Long non-coding RNA from Gordionus sp. m RMFG-2023, 3179 nucleotides. RefSeq lists it as uncharacterized. The transcript has 9 exons. The record is from RefSeq and is a predicted model, not a curated record. Lineage: Eukaryota; Metazoa; Nematomorpha; Gordioida; Chordodea; Parachordodidae.
UUUUAUUCAUUAAUUUUUUUAUUUUUUCUAGAUUCAAAGAAAUAAAUUCUCUUCUUUAUUUACUAAUUUAUCUCAAUCAAUUCAUCAUAACUUAAUUCUUUCUUAUCUUCUCCAAUUCUUUACCUAAGCUACUAUAAAGUUUAGCAAGUACCAUUAUAAAUCAAUUAUUUAUUUCCUUUAACAAUUUAUUUUUUCUAUAUAUUAAUCUUAUUAACUUAAUUUAAACAAAAUAAUAUAAAUCAACAUUUAAUAUAAUUACAACUUCUUUCUUAAACAAAAUUUAACUUUAAUCCUCUCUUAAAACUCAAUUUCAUGGAUAUUUUCUUAUUCAUCAUUUCUCUUGUCUGCUUUUUGCUUUUUCAAUUUUCCAAGUAUCGUCUGCUUGUUUUUUCCCCAUUUUUUUCUAUUUCAAAAUUCAAAUUUAUCUUACAAUUUACUUUAAAAUUUAUAUUAUGUCAAUUUUCAAAAAUCUAACAAUCUACUCCUACAACAUUCCUGGCCUACUUUCAAAAACAACUAUACUUAGGAAACUCCUUGAUCAAUAUGAUAUUAACAUUAUUUUAACACAAGAAUCUCUUAUUACCAAUAAUAUAUAAAAAAAACAAAAAAAAUAAAUAAAUAAAUUACAAAUUACAAAAACUAAUUCUUCUUUCUCUUUACUCCUUAAUCACCCCCCCUCCCCUUUUUUCUAAUACAUAUUCCUAUCUUAUCUUUUAUAAUAAAUAAACAUUAUUUACAAUGUGGAUCCUGGCUUAUCCACGAGUGGUACCCAUCAUCCCACUCAAAUUAAACGGGACCAUGACAGUAGGGUAAAUUACUGUCAACUUUGUGGAUCCUGGCUUAUCCACAAGUGGUACCUGUCAUCCCACUCAAAUUAAACAGGGCCCAGACAGUAGGGUAAAUUUUCUGCCAAACAGUGAAUGCAAAUUCACUGCUCUGGAGACACCCUCUAUGAGGUGGUGGAGUGCCCACUUAAUUGUGGGAUGUCUCCUUAGUGUAUAAUAUGAUAUGGUAAGAUUCAAAUAAAAAGCAACUAUUAUAUCCUGGUGAAAUAUUUUGAGAAGAAAAUCCAAGAAAGCAAGACUCAAAUAAAAAGCAACUAUAAUCCUGAAUACAUCAAUUUUAGCUUCUGAUGAUAUUCCCACUCUUUCUAGAGAGUUGAACCUAUUAUUGAUUCCUCUUCAGAUAACAAACCCUGUCUUAACCUCUCUUAAUGAUUGUACAGAUGCUAAUUAAGCAACUAUUAUGCUGGGUUGAUAUCAAAAAAUAAAUAUCAUUCAAUUAUUAAUUCAGCCCAUAUUUAUUUUGAGAAGAAAAGCAAAGAUCCUACAUUUUUAAAAGCUUGCCUUUUGUCAGAUCCACAAUUGCUCUAUUCUCCAUGCUGAUUAUUUUGUAUAACUCACCAAAAAAUAAGUUAACCCAAUCUUAAUCCCUCAUAUUGUUAUUACAAAACAUGAUGAAUCUAUUAUUAAAGAUAAGCAAAGAAAAAAUGCCUAUUCAACAAAAGCCUUACCCGUUCUAGAGUUACUGGUGGCCAAGAUAAUAAGGAACUUUGAACUCCUCUGGAGUUGCCUCCAAAUGAUAUUUCUAUCACCACUACCACAAUCCCUAUGCCACCUCUGCCUAAUUUUUAACAAAUAUAAGCAUUUAAUUCCACUAUUAUUCACCUCACUUAAUAUAAAUAAUACUUUAUCCGAUUCUCUGAGGAACUUUCAUGAAUAUUUAGAGGGAUGUUCAAACGUGAAUGUGUAGUGCGGCCAAUUUCAUUAACAUUAUUAAUGGGAAAAUAUGCGGUAGUUUUGUCAUGGCCUUUAUAACAAUACUUACGACCGUUUUAUGGUUGAGUUGACAAUGUCGUUCAUUAUUCUAUUUUAGAGGAGGAUACCAAAACUGACACUUUGGCAGAAAUAUCAUUUUGCGUUCUUCUUUUACCAGUAGCCCAAGGCCUCAGCUUUAUCAGGACGCAAUGGAUGUUGUACACUGCUUUGAUGACAUUUUGAACAGUUUGUAGUUAUACAUCAAUUUUAAUUCCAAAAAUGACAACGUGAAAUUGCUGUAAUUUUGAAAACAAAUCAUCAAUAGUUUAAAAGAAAACGUAUUCCCAUUAUCAGUCCGAUGUACGUAUGAUGCGUCUUUUCAUGCUAGUUAUCAAGCCAAGAAGAACAUCUUUUAAAUAUAUAAGAAUAAUACAGGAUAUGUAUAUGGGCGAUACAACAAUGGUCUAUAGCACAACAGGUACUUCAGCAGGCUUCACAAUAGCCGAAGGAGUUCAUCAAGAGUCGGCUCUAGCCCACUUCUCUUCAUUACAGUAAUAGAUAUAUUAGCACAGUCUAUACCUCAAACAGUCCCGUGGAAUAUGAUAUUUGCAGAUGAUAUUGUGAUACUUGCCGAAUCCAAGGAUGAAAUGGAAUAAAUAUUAGUGAGUUAUAAAUAUCCUAGAAAAGCACGGACUAAAAGUAAAUAGAGAAAAGACGGAGUAUAUGGUGAUAGGAGAAACAGAGUAUUGAUAUAAAUGAAUGGCAGGCAAAUAUCGGCAAUUGAAAGCUGCAAAUAUUUGGGCUCCACUAUACAAACAAACGGCACAAUAGAAAAAGAUAUAAAGAGUAAAAUUAAUCAAGGGUGGUUAAAGUGGAGAUCUUUAUCUGGAGUGCUAUUUGACAAAAGAAUCCCACACAAAUUAAAGGGAAAAAUUUACAGUUCCAUAGUACAACCAACUAUUCUAUAUAGUUCGGAAACAUGGCCAACCAAAGAAUCAGACGAGAUAAGUCUACAAACUAUGGAGAUGAGAAUUCUGAGGAUGAUUGCUGGGGUAACAUGAAAGGAUAAAGUGCGCAAUACAAGAAUACUAAGUAGUUUAAAGGUAGUGCCCAUUAAGACUAAGUUAAUGGUAAACAGACUUAAGUGGUAUGGGCACACAAUGAGAAGGCCUAUAACUACCUUGGAAAUAAGGUUGAGAGUUUGGAAGUGAUGGGCAAACGUAAAAGAGGAAGGCCAAAACUUCAAUGGGGCCAUAAAGUUAGAGCCAAUAUAAAGAAGUAUAAAAGAGAUUGUAUGAAUAACAUAAAGUGGAGAGAGAUGUUGAAGGAGCUUACCACCAGAAAAGGUGAAAGCUAAAGAGAGAAAAAAAAUACUUAUUAUAAAUAAUCAAUUAUCAUUUUAUAAGAAAUAAUUAAUAAUUG